This 484-nucleotide long non-coding RNA is filed under the name Homo sapiens (human). RNAcentral's name for it is "HSALNT0371757". The record is from RNAcentral. Lineage: Eukaryota; Metazoa; Chordata; Mammalia; Primates; Hominidae.
UCCACAUGUGUGGAACCAGGGCAUUUUCUUUUUCUAAGAGGGUAAGACUGCACGACCUCCUCUCCUUUCUAAGGAACAUCUAAGCAAGUCUGCCGAGUCCGUAGUCUUGUGACUAGUUGACAGAUGGAAACAGUGAAGGCCCAGAGAGAUUCAGUCACUUGCUCAAGGCCACAGGCUGGCAGCUGCAGGCCUAGAGCCCUUCUCAUGAAGAGCAGGAAGUACCCAAAGCCACAGCCAGGAUUAAAGAGUUGAUCUAAACCUUAGAUCUUAGCUUUAAGGUUGUAAUGUACAGUGAAUCUGGUUACAUGGAAAAGGAAACAGUAAUUGUUGAAGUAUGUUUUCUUAAGCUACAGAAUAAUUUUUGAAAUGUUUGCCUUUAAUCCGCAGACAGGCUCGCGUUUGAGAAAAUAUUUUCUUGCUGCUCAAGAUGAAUGUGAGUGUCUGAAGUACUGGAUCUUUGAGCUACAUUUUGUCAUUUUUUCAA